GGGGAUGUAGCUCAAAUGGUAGAGUGCUCGCUUUGCAUGCGAGAGGCACGGGGUUCAUCUCCA
This 63-nucleotide transfer RNA is filed under the name Gossypium hirsutum (cotton). It matches the Rfam family "tRNA". Rfam says of the family: Transfer RNA (tRNA) molecules are approximately 80 nucleotides in length. Their secondary structure includes four short double-helical elements and three loops (D, anti-codon, and T loops). Lineage: Eukaryota; Viridiplantae; Streptophyta; Magnoliopsida; Malvales; Malvaceae. The record is from Rfam by way of RNAcentral.